Molecule: ribosomal RNA, 567 nt
Filed under: uncultured Actinomycetes bacterium
Lineage: Bacteria; Bacillati; Actinomycetota; Actinomycetes
Description: bacterial SSU rRNA
Rfam family: Bacterial small subunit ribosomal RNA
Source: RNAcentral
CCUACGGGAGGCAGCAGUGGGGAAUAUUGGGCAAUGGAGGAAACUCUGACCCAGCGACGCCGCGUGAGGGAUGAAGGCCUUCGGGUUGUAAACCUCUUUCAGUAGGGAAGAAGCGAAAGUGACGGUACCUACAGAAGAAGCACCGGCUAACUAUGUGCCAGCAGCCGCGGUAAUACAUAGGGUGCAAGCGUUGUCCGGAAUUAUUGGGCGUAAAGAGCUCGUAGGUGGUUCGAUACGUCGGAUGUGAAAAUCAGGGGCUCAACCCCUGACCUGCAUUCGAUACGGUCGAGCUAGAGUGUGGUAGGGGAGACUGGAAUUCCUGGUGUAGCGGUGGAAUGCGCAGAUAUCAGGGGGAACACCGAUGGCGAAGGCAGGUCUCUGGGCCAUUACUGACACUGAGGAGCGAAAGCGUGGGGAGCGAACAGGAUUAGAUACCCUGGUAGUCCACGCCGUAAACGGUGGGCGCUAGUUGUGCGAACCUUCCACGGUUUGUGCGACGCAGCUAACGCAUUAAGCGCCCCGCCUGGGGAGUACGAUCGCAAGAUUAAAACUCAAAGGAAUUGACGG